Pelobates cultripes (western spadefoot toad) is the source of this 246-nucleotide non-coding RNA. NCBI's taxonomy places the organism in Eukaryota, Metazoa, Chordata, Amphibia, Anura, Pelobatidae. The record is from the annotation of a GenBank genome assembly.
ACACACACACACAGAUUGCUGAGUCCAUAUACACACACACACACACACAGACUCUGCUGAGUCCAUACACACACACACAGACUCUGCUGAGUCCGUACACGCACACACACACAGACUCUGAUGAGUCCGUACACACACAGACUCUGCUGAGUCCGUACACACACACACACAGACUCUGCUGAGUCCGUACACACACACAGACUCUGCUGAGUCCGUACACACACACAGACUCUGCUGAGUCCGUAC